RNAcentral lists this ribosomal RNA (925 nucleotides) under uncultured Campylobacterota bacterium. Its description in RNAcentral is "bacterial SSU rRNA". It matches the Rfam family "Bacterial small subunit ribosomal RNA", at positions 606 to 1533 of the family's 1533-position model. The record is from RNAcentral. Lineage: Bacteria; Pseudomonadati; Campylobacterota.
GGCUCAACCAUUGAACUGCGUGUGAAACUGGGAGCCUAUAGUUCAGAAGGGGCAGAUGGAAUUAGUGGUGUAGGGGUAAAAUCCGKAGAUAUCACUAGGAAUAUCAAAAGCGAAGGCGAUCUGCUGCGAUGAUACUGACSCUGARGCACSAAAGCWUGGGGAGCAAACAGGAUUAGAUACCCUGGUAGUCCACGCCCUAAACGAUGAAUGCUAGKSGYCRGGGAGCUCGUCUCUUCGGUGAUGCACUUAACAGAUUAAGCAUUCCGCCUGSGGAGUACGGUCGCAAGAUUAAAACUCAAAGGAAUAGACGGGGACCCGCACAAGUGGUGGAGCAUGUGGUUUAAUUCGMAGAUACACGAAGAACCUUACCUGGCCUUGACAUGGUAGGAACCCUUAAGAGAUUAGGGGGUGCUAGCUUGCUAGAACCUACACWCAGGUGCUGCACGGCUGUCGUCAGCUCGUGUCGUGAGAUGUUGGGUUAAGUCCCGCAACGAGCGCAACCCUCGUCAUUAGUUGCUAACAGUUCGGCUGAGCACUCUAAUGAGACUGCCUCCGUAAGGAGGAGGAAGGUGAGGACGACGUCAAGUCAUCAUGGCCCUUACGGCCAGGGCUACRCACGUGCUACAAUGGGGCGUACAGAGGGCUGCAAUACCGCGRGGUGGAGCCAAUCCCUUAAAGCSUCUCUCAAUUCGGAUUGUUUUCUGCAACUCGAGAACAUGAAGCUGGAAUCACUAGUAAUCGUAGAUCAGCUAUGCUACGGUGAAUACGUUCCCGGGUCUUGUACUCACCGCCCGUCACACCAUGGGAGUUGAUUUCACCCGAAAUCGGGAUGCCAAACUGGCUACCGCUUACGGUGGAAUUAGCGACUGGGGUGAAGUCGUAACAAGGUAACCGUAGGAGAACCUGCGGUUGGAUCACCUCCUUU